RNAcentral lists this transfer RNA (70 nucleotides) under Dipodomys ordii (Ord's kangaroo rat). It matches the Rfam family "tRNA". From Rfam's summary of the family: Transfer RNA (tRNA) molecules are approximately 80 nucleotides in length. Their secondary structure includes four short double-helical elements and three loops (D, anti-codon, and T loops). Further hydrogen bonds mediate the characteristic L-shaped molecular structure. tRNAs have two regions of fundamental functional importance: the anti-codon, which is responsible for specific mRNA codon recognition, and the 3' end, to which the tRNAs corresponding amino acid is attached (by aminoacyl-tRNA synthetases). tRNAs cope with the degeneracy of the genetic code in two manners: having more than one tRNA (with a specific anti-codon) for a particular amino acid; and 'wobble' base-pairing, i.e. permitting non-standard base-pairing at the 3rd anti-codon position. Lineage: Eukaryota; Metazoa; Chordata; Mammalia; Rodentia; Heteromyidae. The record is from Rfam by way of RNAcentral.
GGUAAGGUGGCUCACUGGUAGAGUGCCUGUCUUACAUGCAUGCGGCUCUGGGUUCGAUUUCCUGGCACCA